This 20-nucleotide small nuclear RNA is filed under the name Arabidopsis thaliana (thale cress). Its description in RNAcentral is "snRNA_16864". Lineage: Eukaryota; Viridiplantae; Streptophyta; Magnoliopsida; Brassicales; Brassicaceae. The record is from RNAcentral.
GAUUCUCUGUGUAAGCGAAA